Molecule: ribosomal RNA, 253 nt
Filed under: uncultured bacterium
Lineage: Bacteria
Description: partial 16S ribosomal RNA
Rfam family: Bacterial small subunit ribosomal RNA
Source: RNAcentral
GACGAACCGUGCGAACGUUGUUCGGAAUCACUGGGCAUAAAGGGCGCGUAGGCGGCUUUUCAAGUCAGGGGUGAAAUCCGGCAGCUCAACUGUCGAAGUGCCCUUGAUACUGAUGAGCUCGAGGGAGGUAGGGGUGUGUGGAACUUCCGGUGGAGCGGUGAAAUGCGUUGAUAUCGGAAGGAACGCCGGUGGCGAAAGCGACGGACUGGAUCUCUUCUGACGCUGAGGCGCGAAAGCCAGGGGAGCAAACGGG